This 2276-nucleotide long non-coding RNA is filed under the name Medicago truncatula (barrel medic). RNAcentral's name for it is "long non-coding RNA (MTRU_LNC004209)". Lineage: Eukaryota; Viridiplantae; Streptophyta; Magnoliopsida; Fabales; Fabaceae. The record is from RNAcentral.
AAAGCAUACAUGCCAAGAGAUCGAAUACAUCAUCAUAAAAAUUCUCCAAAACAUAAAUAGAUCCAGGAUAGACAAUCUAUAAUAAAUCAUAAGACAACAUCCUAGAUCAGAGUCUAUCCUACGACUCUACAGAACCGAUAACGGAGAUAACUCCCUCUAUCCAAGCAAUCACCGAGCAACUCACCAAAGCAACUAAUCCUGCACUUCGUCUACCACUGGGGGUAAGCUUUACAUUAAUCAUAAUCAAUGAAAUAAAUUUGAACAUAAAUGAAUCAUUUCAAGUUCUAAAUAAUUAACAUGGAUAUUUAAUCUCAAUAAUAAUUCAUAAUGAUAAAUCCAAAUAUCACAACCAAUCACUCACAUCCACAAGUAUAUCAAUUAUUUUCACAAUUAGGACUCAUGCCACAAUAUGAUAUGUCCCUAGACACGACACAUAAAUGCAUGCGGUACCGUCGUCACCAACGUCUAGGUCGUCACCCCAUGAUGCCAACAGAACACCAUAAUCACCUCAAUUGGAUAUAAAAUCCGUCACGAACAGUCAUGAAUGCAUGAACAUAUAACUCGACAACAAUGCAUAUGUUCACACAAACCAUUCACCACAUUAGAUAUAAAAUCCGUCACCAUCAGUCAUGUAUGUAUAAACAUAUAUCUCAACAACAAUACAUAUGUUCACACAAACAAUUCACCACAAUCUCACCAAACACUUAGCAUAUAUGCAUUCACCAACAAUUCAUCAUCACAUGUCAUAUAUGCACUCACCAACAAUUCACCAUACAAUAAUCUUAUUAUGAACAUCAUAUCCAACACUCAACAAGUCACUCACAUAACUUCAUUUAACCAUACAAAACCAUUCACCAAAGAUUUACAAGUUAAACGACUUUAAAGAAUCAUUAUCAACAAAGUCCGUAUCAAGUGGCAAAAUGGCCAACAUUGAUAAUUUUCAAAGCUAGGUAACUUAUUCAAGUUUUAAAACCUACAACUCCAUCUUAAUCAAUCAUGUAGUCAUGAGCUUAAGCCACUUACGAACUAUUAAACAUUAGUUCAAAGAUUAGCUUAAGUUCGUGAGAAAAAACCCAAAGUUCACAUUUCCACAUUCCCACCCGAAAAAUGAAGUUUGACAUGAUUAAGACAUUAAACCACUAUACAAGCCUUGCCUAAGUCCACAUGGACUGUAGACUCAACUUGUAAUCCAUUUUAGUUCACAAAAUUCCAUUUCCGGCAAAAUCCGAAAAUUACCAAAAGUUCGAGUUUCAACCAAAAUAGAAAAUCCCAAAUUCGAAUGAGUAAAUCAUGUUCCAGUAGGUUUAGGAGUACAAACAGAGAUUAAACAAGUUGAAAGAAGCAUUUUACAAAGUUUGGAUUGGCCUCCUAAAGCUCGGAACGAAAAUCAAAGGUUGCUGAAACUGGGCUUGUUUGCUUAAGUGACCACCUUGUUCGCUUAAGCGAACAAGUUCCAAUAGCUUACAGUAAUGUUCGCUUAUUGUUCGUUUACCGGUUCGCUUAAGCGAACAGUCAUCAGUUCUGCAGAAAAAUUACGGGUUUCAACCCUUUUUCACCCAAAAAUCCUAAUUUUGAUCUCCCAAGGUACAAAUAUGUUUCCAAAGUUUGUUUACAUGUCAUAGUACUUAAAAUGGCUCUCAAGAACACAUCAAACAUUACAACAAUGCCAUUUAAAUACAAUUCACCAAUUCAACCCAUUUCAACAACAACAACUCAUUUAUCAUCAUCAAUUCAUGAUUUAUGAACACCGAAGUUAUGAAUCAUCAACAACAAUAUCUCUACAACAUCAAUUAAACAUGAUCUCAUCGCAAUUCAACAAUAAGAUAGCACAAUUCAACAUUUGGAGCACAAUUCACAAUAUAUCAUUUUCACAUAUUAUGAACAUGCAAUUUCAUUAACAACAAUUCAAUUAUCACCAAUUUCAUGUACUCAAACAUAACAUCAUAAUAAGAGCACAAAUAUCAUAUUUUAUAGUAUAUCCUACAUCUUGCUCAUUGAUAAUUGACUUGAGACUAACCGCUUACACUUGAAUCCAACAAUUGUUUCUCAAGUGUGAAUGAUAUUAGUAAUCGGUUGACAUCUCAUCGACAUGUUUUUUGGCUACUUCAAUCAAGCAAUCCCAACUUUCACAAACUAUCAAAAUCCUUUCACAUGCUUAUUUACUAGUACAUGUCCUUCUUGUUUUUAAAUUAGAUGCUUUUCCUAGUAUUGUUUUCUGGUGACCCACUUUUCAAUAUAACGCAAGUAGGUGAGAACGUGUGUCAUGCAAAUUCUAG